UCCCAGUUUCCAUCCUGUUCAUAUUUUCCAAGGCCGUUUUCUUGUUUUCCUGAUGCCAAAAAAUGCAUAUUGGGAAAGAGGAACAUAACUCACAUAGCAGAAAUCCGAAAUAAUCACUGCUGCUCACAGAGUGCAAUCCUGGCGCUGCCAGCCCACGCUGCGGUCCUGUGUUCCACAUGCUGAUGGAUCUGUGCCACCACCUCAGAGGUUUUGGGGCCAUCCGUCCAACACUGGGGGCUGUGCUGCUCGGAGAGAUGAAGUUGUGUGGAUCCCGGCAGAGAGGAAAUUCCGCAUCGUCGCCCCAGGGAGAACGGGAAAGAAAACAGGGAGGAAAAACCUUUUGGUGCGACGAUGGGGAAUAACGCGAGCGCUGCGCGCUGCUGGGCUGGGAGCGAAGCACAGAGCCCGGGCAGAAGAGCGGCUGGGAUGGGAUACCGGGUGGGCUGCAUCCAGAACGGGCCCGUACGCUGCAUGCGCAACGAGGGGGGCUGCAGGAAGCGCUGUUUGCGGGCUCCGGCCUCCAGGUGGCAGGCAGAGGCCGGGGUGCUUCUGGCCGUGCGUCCUCCGACGAAAGCCCGAGGUGGUAUCGAUGCGGGUAAAUAAUCGGCACGGACAAACGGUGCCGGAUCCUUCAGAGCUUUACCCGGCUUUGCACCCUUUAUCCCCGUGCAUUUCAGUUCGCAGGUGAUGCCACCUGGGUGUUUUUUCUAUCUCCACGCCAGCAUUUUUCCUCUACUUCAGCGUUCCCAGAGGUGCGUUCCUUGUUGCGGCGCCUAUCGCGGCGCUGGAAGUGCCUCCCAUCCUCCUCAACAGACCGUGCACCGACCUGCAGCACCACGCUGAGAUAAGGAGAGGGCUCUGGGAUGAAUAAGCUGAGAACAGGGAGCCCCAUUGCUGCCCCUUAAGGCACCUUCCUUCGGUACCAGGAUCUCAGCAGAAGGAGGUGGGGCUGCCAGGCAGGAGGUGCCCCUGCGAGGCACCACUGGGACGGAACCGGCUCACCUUUCCAGGAUCACUUCCCAGGGAAGCAAAUUGCACACGAAAAGUAUUUGAUUCGAGUUCAUAGCCAAGAAAAAAAAAAAGAAAUCACAGAACAAACAUCUCCCCUGCUUGAAGGGCCCUCUUCAAGUGUCAGAAACGAAAUGGAGCAGGAUGAUUAACACUGGCAUCCUGGUGCCCCACUGCUGAGCUCAGAUAGAUGAGACCCCAUUCCUCCCCCAGGUCACCUCUGUGUUUUUGGGGUUGGCCUUGGGACAGGGCCAUCAGCCAAGACAGAGAUGGUUCAUUGCCUCAGGGAGAUGCAGUGCUGUACCAUUUGUUAUUAGUAACACCCGUCUCAUUCUCAGUGCUGUUUGGGCACUGUGUGCCACGGAGCAGAUGGGGCUCAUUUGAAGCCCUCCAGAUCACAGGGGUCCAUGUGCAACUGAUAAAGGCCCACUGGGGGGGAGGGAAGGG
RNAcentral lists this long non-coding RNA (1455 nucleotides) under Gallus gallus (chicken). Its description in RNAcentral is "lncRNA (ENSGALG00010019395.1)". Lineage: Eukaryota; Metazoa; Chordata; Aves; Galliformes; Phasianidae. The record is from RNAcentral.